This 193-nucleotide long non-coding RNA is filed under the name Pongo abelii (Sumatran orangutan). RNAcentral's name for it is "lincRNA". The record is from RNAcentral. Lineage: Eukaryota; Metazoa; Chordata; Mammalia; Primates; Hominidae.
AAGAAAUUGAUGCUGCAGGAGAGAGGGAAUAAUUGCUGAAGCAAAGAUCUUGAGGCCUGCUUCCACUGAGGGACUGAAGGCUCCUUGAGCAAAAUUAUCUACCUCUUCACCUUUGGAUCUUUCACAGUUCCCAGUUCAGUGUACUACAGAUUGUACUUGCUAAGUAAAAAAUCAUUGUCAUGGUUUACCUAAA